UUUUUGGAGAGUUUGAUCCUGGCUCAGGACGAACGCUGGCGGCGUGCCUAACACAUGCAAGUCGAACGGUCUAAUGCUUAACACU
RNAcentral lists this ribosomal RNA (85 nucleotides) under Desulfitobacterium hafniense. Its description in RNAcentral is "partial 16S ribosomal RNA". It matches the Rfam family "Bacterial small subunit ribosomal RNA", at positions 1 to 85 of the family's 1533-position model. Lineage: Bacteria; Bacillati; Bacillota; Clostridia; Eubacteriales; Desulfitobacteriaceae. The record is from RNAcentral. RNAcentral also lists the same sequence under 1 other name.